This is a small nuclear RNA of Myxocyprinus asiaticus (Chinese sucker), 114 nucleotides long. RefSeq annotates it as U5 spliceosomal RNA. The record is from RefSeq and is a predicted model, not a curated record. Lineage: Eukaryota; Metazoa; Chordata; Actinopteri; Cypriniformes; Catostomidae. The transcript has a single exon.
CAGUUCAAGUUUCUCUUCAUUACAUAUAAAUCUUUCACCUUUUAUUAAAGAUUUUAAUGUAGGGGAGCUUUUGUGAGUUUUCUGUAUUUUGGGGGCUCUGCUUAAAGCAGAGCU